This 30-nucleotide non-coding RNA is filed under the name Mus musculus (house mouse). The record is from RNAcentral. Lineage: Eukaryota; Metazoa; Chordata; Mammalia; Rodentia; Muridae.
UAAGAAUAGAUUCAAUUAUCUACACCUAGU